GCAGACACAUUCCAGCCAAUCAGCAGCAGACCCUCCCUCCCAGACCCUCCCACCUCCUGGACAGCAUCCAUUUUACAUUCAAUGUGAAGCUGCAUUCUUAGUGAGCUGUCCAGGAGGUGGGAGGGUCUGGGAGGGAGGGUCUGCUGCUGAUUGGCUGGAAUGUGUCUG
Pelobates cultripes (western spadefoot toad) is the source of this 168-nucleotide non-coding RNA. NCBI's taxonomy places the organism in Eukaryota, Metazoa, Chordata, Amphibia, Anura, Pelobatidae. The record is from the annotation of a GenBank genome assembly.